CAGUCGCCGCGGGAAUACGUAGGUGGCAAGCGUUGUCCGGAAUUAUUGGGCGUAAAGGGCUCGCAGGCGGUUUCUUAAGUCUGAUGUGAAAGCCCCCGGCUCAACCGGGGAGGGUCAUUGGAAACUGGGAAACUUGAGUGCAGAAGAGGAGAGUGGAAUUCCACGUGUAGCGGUGAAAUGCGUAGAGAUGUGGAGGAACACCAGUGGCGAAAGCGACUCUCUGGUCUGUAACUGACGCUGAGGAGCGAAAGCGUGGGGAGCGAACAGGAUUAGAUACCCGCGUAGUCCCUGUCUCUUAUAC
Molecule: ribosomal RNA, 301 nt
Filed under: uncultured bacterium
Lineage: Bacteria
Description: partial 16S ribosomal RNA
Rfam family: Bacterial small subunit ribosomal RNA
Source: RNAcentral